This 923-nucleotide long non-coding RNA is filed under the name Equus caballus (horse). RNAcentral describes it as "lncRNA (ENSECAG00000048335.1)". Lineage: Eukaryota; Metazoa; Chordata; Mammalia; Perissodactyla; Equidae. The record is from RNAcentral.
CCGGACUUGUCUCAAGAGUAGUAGACCUCAUUUGGUAUUUUUGAUAUUUAAUUCUCAUUUCCAUUUUUGGUAUUCAAUUCAACAAAUAUUUGAAACAGGAUCUUAACUGUAAUCAUCUUUUUGCCUCUGAGUUUCAGCAGAGGCUUCAAAGGCCAAUAAUAAAACUGUUGGUGGGAAAUCGCGUUGUCAUUCCAGGGCGAGGUGCUGGAGCCUCCUUCAAGACUUUCAAAGGGAAUGCCUGGAGUCAUGCCGCAGGCCUUUGCCCAGCAGCCAGCUCGAGCCCAUGAAGAUUAGCCCUGAGCUAGCAUCUGCCGCCAAUCCUCCUCUUCUUGCUGAGGAAGACUGGCCCUGAGCUAACAUCCAUGCCCAUGUGUCUGUGUGUCCCUGCUGCAGUAAAAGUUCCCUUUUCUUUCCUGGGAAAAGAGAUGGAAACGCAUCAAGGAGGAAUGAAAGGCUGUUGGACAGAUCUUCUGGGACUGCGUUAGCCGUGGGGUUCUUGGAGAAAGAGAGAGAUGGACUGUGGUGGAUGACAAAGGAUCCAUUUCCUGACAACCUGGGAGAUUGGGGCUGGAGCCACUUCUAUUUUCACUUCAGAAACUAUUGUCAGGCUCAUUUUUAUCAAUCUGGUAGGAGUGAAGUGAUAUCUAGUAAGCAAAUGGGGAUCUCAGGCCUGUACCCACAAGGAAACAAAUUCUGCCACAACCAUGUCAGCUUGAAAGAGGACCAUGAGCUCCAGAAUGAAACGCAGCCUGCCUAACACCAUGACUGUACCUCGUGAGACUCUGAGCAGAGGACCCAGGAAAGCCAUGCCUGCAUCCUGACCCCCCAGAAAUGGAGAUAAUAAAUGUAUAUUGUUUUAAGCCACUAAAUUUGUGUUAAUUAGUUGUGUAGCAACAGAUAACUAAUACAAUAUUGGAUCCAUG